UACGGGGCGCAGCAGGCGCGAAACCUUCGCAAUGCGCGAAAGCGUGACGAGGUUAAUCCGAGUGACUCCCGCUGAGGGGGUCUUUUGUCAGCUGUAAUUAGGCAGGCGAAUAAGGGGAGGGCAAGCCUGGUGUCGGCCGCCGCGGUAAUACCAGCUCCUCGAGUGGUCGGGGCGAUUAUUGGGCCUAAAGCAUCCGUAGCCGGUUCCGUAGGUCCUCUGUUAAAUCCAACCGCUCAACGGUUGACCUGCAGAGGAUACCGCGGAACUAGGAGGCGGGAGAGGCGGACGGUACUCCGCGUGUAGGGGUAAAAUCCUUUGAUCCGCGGAAGACCACCAGUGGUGAAGGCGGUCCGCCAGAACGCGCUCGACGGUGAGGGAUGAAAGCUGGGGGAGCGAACCGGAUUAGAUACCCGGGUAGUCCCAGCGGUAAAGGAGGCUAGGCACAGGAAUCGUUGGCAAGUC
RNAcentral lists this ribosomal RNA (462 nucleotides) under uncultured archaeon. Its description in RNAcentral is "bacterial SSU rRNA". It matches the Rfam family "Archaeal small subunit ribosomal RNA", at positions 324 to 788 of the family's 1478-position model. The record is from RNAcentral.